Molecule: unclassified non-coding RNA, 314 nt
Filed under: plant metagenome
Description: partial contains 5.8S ribosomal RNA, internal transcribed spacer 2, and large subunit ribosomal RNA
Rfam family: 5.8S ribosomal RNA (bases 1-105)
Source: RNAcentral
GAAACGCGAUAGUUAAUGUGAAUUGCAGAAUUCAGUGAAUCAUCGAGUCUUUGAACGCACAUUUCGCCUAUAGGUAUUCCUUUGGGCAUGUCUGUUUGAGCGUCAUUACAACCCUCAGCUAACCGCUGGUUUUGAACCUGAACGGGUGACACCGCGCCGGUUUUAAAGUUGUAAGCUCUGCUGGCCGCUCUGCCCAACCAGAACAUAGUAAGCACUACUUGUCCGGGUGAAGCUGAACGGUACGGCCUGAACAAAACCUACCCACUCUCAAGGUUUGACCUCCUAUCAGACAAGGAUACCCGCUGAACUUAAGC